UCCGCAGCGCCGGGGGCUCGUGGGCCCGGGCCGGGGCAGACGCGCACAGACGGACGGAGCCGCCCGGCUGGAGGGAGAGACGCUGCGGCCGCGGGCUAUUUUAUUGCAAAGCCACUGUGGAAUCCUCAUCUUUCAGACUUUCUGUGGUGGAGUCAGUUGAGCCAAAAUUGUAUCAGACUUAUUUGUUCUGGGGCUUGUCAUCUCUGUCUGACAUAUUAUUGUCUUAAACCAAAAUACGGUGCAAUGUCAGCUGUGGAACAGCAACAGGCAGAACCUUCUCCAUCAUCCAAUUCAUCCAGUUCCUUUGAAGUAGUGGAGGCAGAUACUGCAAAUAAGUAUGAGGCAGUUGUUCCUCACUGGUUUUACUGCAAGGUAAUAGAUUCUAGAGAGAGGUGGAUCCCUUUCAGUCAACAAGACUCGGAGAAGUUAGAAGAGGCCCACAACUCAAGGAAAGACGAUGAACAGCUGGUAGUUCCAACGGAAGGGGGCAGGUAUGAUGUGCAUUUGAAGAAGAGGCUGCGCUGUGCCAUGUAUUGGGAGGAAGAGGUGUCUGAAGUGAGACGCUGCACCUGGUUUUACAAGGGAGACAAGGACAACAAGUAUAUUCCCUACUCGGAGAGCUUCAGCGAAGAGUUGGAGGAAACGUACAUGAUUGCCAUAACUCUGGACGAGUGGAAAAAGAAACUUGAAUCCCCUACUAGAGAAAUCAUUAUAUUGCAUAACCCAAAGCUGAUGGUGCACUACCAUCCAGUGACAACCUCUGAUGACUGGGGCUCAACCCCUACAGAACAAGGUCGACCAAGAACUGUUAAGAGAGGAGUGGAGAACAUCUCCGCUGACAUCCCCUGCGGGGAGCCUCUGCAAAUAGAUCACUUGGUUUUUGUUGUUCAUGGAAUUGGGCCAGCAUGUGAUAUCCGGUUCCGGUCCAUCAUCCAAUGUGUGAACGACUUCCGUAACGUUUCCUUGAGCAUGCUGCAAGCACACUUCAAGAAAGCCCAGGAGCAGCAACAGAUUGGCCGGGUAGAGUUUUUGCCUGUAAACUGGCACAGCCCUUUGCAUUCCACGGGGGUGGAUGUCGAUUUGGAGCGAAUUACCUUGCCGAGCAUCAACCGCCUGCGGCACUUCAUAAACGACACCAUACUGGAUGUUUUCUUCUACAAUAGCUCCACCUACUGCCAGACCAUAGUGGAUACUGUUGCUUCAGAAAUGAACCGUCUGUAUCGGCUCUUCCUGCAGAGGAACCCUGACUUUAAAGGGGGUGUUUCCAUCGCGGGCCACAGCUUAGGGUCACUGAUAUUGUUUGAUCUCCUAACAAAUCAGAAAGAUUCCUCUGAGGAUGAAGAUGACAACAAAGAGGGGUCCCAGAUGGGUGCCUAUGGACAGGGAGACAUUGGGGGAGUGAAAGAAAUCCUGAAGAAGCUUGAGCUGUCUGAGUACUACAGUGUCUUUGAGAAGGAGAGAAUGGACACACAAGCACUGGCUCUGUGUACGGAGAAGGAUCUUAAAGACAUGGGAAUUCCCUUGGGACCAAGAACAAAGAUCCUUCAUUAUGUAAGAACCAAAGAUGAAAGACAGGAUGCUCAGCAGCAGGCCCCUGUCCCUGUUGGGAAUAACAAGAGCGAAGAUGCUCCCAAACCUGAGUCAGGGUCAUCCCCGCAGCUGGGCGCCUGGAGCAGCAGCAUGAAUGGUGGGGGGAAGUGUCAAUACUUGGAUGUCGGGCUAGGACAGGUCUCAGCAAAUUACCCUCAGCUAAUCUACAAACCUGACAUCUUCUUUGCUUUUGGGUCUCCCAUUGGGAUGUUUCUCACUGUACGAGGUGUGAAAAGGAUUGAUCCAAACUACAGCCUUCCUACCUGCAAAGGCUUCUUCAAUAUCUUCCAUCCUUUUGACCCCGUGGCGUACAGGAUUGAGCCUAUGAUCAUUCCAGACCUGGAGUUCGAGCCCAUGCUGCUCCCUCAUCACAAGGGCAGGAAGAGAAUGCAUUUAGAACUGAAAGAGGGCCUGACCCGCAUGGGUAUGGAUCUCAAGAACAACCUGCUGGGGUCACUGAGGAUAGCCUGGCAGUCUUUCACCAGAUCCCCACUGCUGGCUGUGGAGGCAGCAGCCACUGAAAAGGAAGCUGAAACUAGCUUGGAGAAACAGACAGUCCAUUCAGAUAUGAAGCCCGAAGAGCCUGCUGCUAUAGGGAAGGAAGACACCCCUCCUAUCAAUGUGGGAAUGCUAAAUGGAGGCCACCGGAUUGACUAUGUGCUGCAAGAGAAGCCUAUAGAGAGUUUUAAUGAAUAUUUAUUUGCACUACAAGGCCAUCUCUGCUACUGGGAGUCCGAAGAUACCGUUCUCUUGAUUCUGAAAGAGAUCUACCAAACACAGGGCAUUACAUUAGAUCAGCCUCUACAAUGAAGUCAGAUGACCAGCUGCACUGUUCUGGUGACAUGAUGUGCACACCAAGUGACUACUCACCUGGAAAGCCCGGAAUUCCCUCUGCCUUCCUAUCCUCUGCUGCUACUGUAUCCUGCAUGCUGCUUCCUGCAUACCUGCUGCUGCCUGGAGCACUGGGAGAUUUUUCUCAUUUUGGGGGGAAAAAAAUCAACGCAAAACACUCUCUUCUCCUAAAAUACCCACUAUGGACUUGCCCCUGUGCCCAUUGUGACGCCCAUGGGAUCGUUCACGCCAACACCAUUCAGCUGACUAGUCUGAUCAUCUCGCAAAACCCCUCUGCAGUAGGAGUGGGACCUGUCCAAGGAAGAGGGGCUUAAGCCCAGUAACUGCAGCUGGGGGCUGAGGACAGACCAACUCCAUGUCCAGUUCCUUAGCAAAGCAUUCAAUCUAGACUCAGUCAAGACCUCAUUAGGAGAAAAAAUAGCUGCAUUUGAGUGUGGAUGAACAGCUGUGGUGGUAGAGGCUUUCAGUGUGAUUCAUGGGCCAAACGCUCUCCUUUACCCCACCCAUUCCACACUGCUGAGUUCAAAGUGGCUACAUUGGUACAGCUGAGGGGAGCAUCUGGCAUCAUCAACCAACCUCUCCUAUAUAAACAGGUGCUGUGACACUAGAUCCAUGUUCACAAAAUGUGGGUGACCCUGCUGAUGAAACCAUAGGAACCUUUUGUACACAGCCAUGGCUUAUGCUGUAUUAACCAGGAGCUGCUGAAUGAUUGCU
Molecule: RNA transcript, 3156 nt
Organism: Gopherus flavomarginatus (Mexican gopher tortoise)
Lineage: Eukaryota; Metazoa; Chordata; Testudines; Testudinidae
Gene: DDHD2
Gene name: DDHD domain containing 2
Exons: 20
Source: RefSeq, a predicted model, not a curated record